GGGGGCGUAGCUCAGCGGGAGAGCGCUUGCUUCGCAUGCAAGAAGUCGUGGGUUCAAUUCCCAUCGCCUCCACCA
Molecule: transfer RNA, 75 nt
Filed under: Candidatus Psychracetigena formicireducens
Lineage: Bacteria; Bacillati; Candidatus Lithacetigenota
Description: tRNA-Ala
Rfam family: tRNA
About the family: Transfer RNA (tRNA) molecules are approximately 80 nucleotides in length. Their secondary structure includes four short double-helical elements and three loops (D, anti-codon, and T loops).
Source: RNAcentral